Molecule: ribosomal RNA, 319 nt
Filed under: uncultured bacterium
Lineage: Bacteria
Description: bacterial SSU rRNA
Rfam family: Bacterial small subunit ribosomal RNA
Source: RNAcentral
UACCAGAUGAAUAAGCACCGGCUAACUCCGUGCCAGCAGCCGCGGUAAUACGGAGGGUGCAAGCGUUAUCCGGAUUCACUGGGUUUAAAGGGUGCGUAGGCGGGCAGGUAAGUCAGUGGUGAAAUCCUGGAGCUCAACUCCAGAACUGCCAUUGAUACUAUCUGUCUUGAAUAUUGUGGAGGUAAGCGGAAUAUGUCAUGUAGCGGUGAAAUGCUUAGAUAUGACAUAGAACACCCAUUGCGAAGGCAGCUUACUACGCAUAUAUUGACGCUGAGGCACGAAAGCGUGGGGAUCAAACAGGAUUAGAUACCCUGGUAGG